Long non-coding RNA from Lycium barbarum (goji berry), 1658 nucleotides. RefSeq lists it as uncharacterized. The record is from RefSeq and is a predicted model, not a curated record. The transcript is spliced from 2 exons. NCBI's taxonomy places the organism in Eukaryota, Viridiplantae, Streptophyta, Magnoliopsida, Solanales, Solanaceae.
UAUAGGUAUACAUUUUGUGGGAAUUAAUUAGGAUAAAGAAGCAUAUUUUAAUUAAUUGAUUGAAGUAAAAAAGGGAUUAGAGAAAGUAAGAUUAGAAACUAAUUCAGCCAAUUUUAAACUUGGGCCAAUCCUUAUCUCUUGAAAGUAAUCCUCAGCAACCCAAUUCACCAAACAAAACGCCCCAGCCCAAAAUCCCACCAACCUGGCCCAAACCCCUACAACUAAACCCACCUAAGUCCCUAAUCCAUCUUCAGUAGCCAAAUGAACUAACCAAACCAACCCCUUUCCUCUUCAACCAAGAGUAACCCUAACUCACCCCAUCGCCGCCACCCCGUCACUUCCGUCACGUCACUUCACCACCACCGCUUCCAUCGGACCACCGAAGAAAACCCUUAAGUUUGUUGGUUUAAAUCAAUAUCCGCCUCCACUGCUACCACGUCUUCUUUCCCUUUGAUUGACGUGGUGGCAGAGCCGAAAGGAGCUAAUAGGAGGUCAUUUCAAACUCUGUAGAAGAGGAACGCGAUGAACCGCUGGUUUCAAGUUCGCCACUAGGUUCGUUCAGCCCUCAGACCCGAAAACCAUGGAGAAAUCUCCAUAUUCGGAGUCCCAGCGAAUCCACAGCCAUCAAAUCUUAUCUGAAAAGGUGAUUCUUUUCCUUCUGACCAUAAUUUUAUCUUUUUCCAGCCAUUAGAGAUUUCCUUUUUUUUUUUUUUCUCUUUCAAAAUUCAAAUUCAGCUUUUGAGGGAGCCGUUAACCCCAUCCUUUGGUUAUCAAUAGAGCUCGUUUUAGGCUGUUGAAAGAGGAAGGAAUUGGAGAGAAAUUUUUUAUUUACUCUUAAGUUGAAUUGGAAAAUCCCUUUCCUUUUCAUAAAUCUUCAUAACUAAAAAAUUCAUAGUUCUUUCUAAGUUCUCAGAAAAUCUUGUUUAACUCUAAGUUCUUUUUGGCUGUAUAAUUUUGAUUGUUCUCGGCUAAGCAAGGAUUGCUUUAAGAGAUUUCGGAGACUCGACGACGACAUUAGCCUCAGUUCGCUGUCCCGGAGAAGAUGUCUUCAACAUUGUUUGCUUAGCAGAGUGGUCGACUUGCCUUGGUCAACCAGCUGGGGAAGAUGACUCAGCUUCGAUUUUCAUGGUUGCUGGGAAGAAAAGAGUUUAAAGAAAUUGGGGAAGAUGACUUGGUCAACCAGCUGGGGAAGAUGACUCAGUUUCUUUUUAUUCUUUCGAGAGUUUGUUGUUUUUGGCUUUUGGGUGUGCAUUUUGAAACAUUGGGUAUAAUGAAGAGGUGGAUAUUUCAUCCAAAUUUUGUCCCUUAUUUUAAAGAGAUGGAGUGUGGGAAAGGAGAAGGCAGCGGAUUUCGUGGGAUAGGGGCGUGGUGGUGGUGAAGUGACGAGGUGGAAGGGGUGGCAGCCAUGGUUUGUUGAAGAGAGAGGAGAGAGGAACCCAACGUUUAGGGUUGUUGAUUUAAGAAGAAAGGGCCGUUAGUUUUAAGUGGGGUUUGGGCCGGGUCGGUUGGUUGGGCUACUGAAUUAUUUUGGGCCACAGAUUUGUUGGGUUGCUGAUUUAAUUUGAAUAAGAAGGGAAUUGGCCCAUUUUAUGUAGAUGAAUUAAUCAUCCUAAUUUCUUUUCAUUUUGAACUAAUUAAAAUAUGCUUCUUUGUCCUAA